RNAcentral lists this ribosomal RNA (484 nucleotides) under uncultured bacterium. Its description in RNAcentral is "SSU rRNA". It matches the Rfam family "Bacterial small subunit ribosomal RNA", at positions 26 to 518 of the family's 1533-position model. The record is from RNAcentral.
AGGAUUAACGCUGGCGGCGUGCAUGAAACAUGCAAGUCGAGCGCGGUGUGAUGCGGGGUAACCCAAUUCACAUCUAGCGGCGAACGGGUGAGUAACACGUGAGCAACCUACCUUUGAGUUGGGGAUAGCCCUGGGAAACCAGGAUUAAUACCCGAUGUGGUCACAACAGGACAUCCUGAUGUGAGUAAAGGCGCAAGCCGCUCAAUGACGGGCUCGCGGCCUAUUAGCUUGUUGGUGGGGUAACGGCCUACCAAGGCGAUGAUGGGUAGCUGGUCUGAGGGGACGAUCAGCCACACUGGGACUGAGACACGGCCCAGACUCCUACGGGAGGCAGCAGUUAGGAAUUUUCCGCAAUGGGCGAAAGCCUGGCGGAGCAACGCCGCGUGAGUGAUGAAGACCUUAGGGUUGUAAAGCUCUGUCGGAGGGGAAGAACACAAUGACGGUACCUCAAGAAAGCCCCGGCUAACUACGUGCCAGCAGCCGC